UGUGACAUACCUACUGUUGCUUCGGCGGGAUUGCCCCGGGCGCCUCGUGUGCCCCGGAUCAGGCGCCCGCCUAGGAAACUUAAUUCUUGUUUUAUUUUGGAAUCUUCUGAGUAGUUUUUACAAAUAAAUAAAAACUUUCAACAACGGAUCUCUUGGUUCUGGCAUCGAUGAAGAACGCAGCGAAAUGCGAUAAGUAAUGUGAAUUGCAGAAUUCAGUGAAUCAUCGAAUCUUUGAACGCACAUUGCGCCCGCCAGUAUUCUGGCGGGCAUGCCUGUCUGAGCGUCAUUUCAACCCUCAUGCCCCUAGGGCGUGGUGUUGGGGAUCGGCCAAAGCCCGCGAGGGACGGCCGGCCCCUAAAUCUAGUGGCGGACCCGUCGUGGCCUCCUCUGCGAAGUAGUGAUAUUCCGCAUCGGAGAGCGACGAGCCCCUGCCGUUAAACCCCCAACUUUCCAAGGUUGACCUCAGAUCAGGUAGGAAUACCCGCUGAACUUAAGCAUAUCAAU
This 504-nucleotide ribosomal RNA is filed under the name Clonostachys rosea. RNAcentral's name for it is "eukaryotic LSU rRNA". The stretch from base 133 to 286 matches the Rfam family "5.8S ribosomal RNA". The record is from RNAcentral. Lineage: Eukaryota; Fungi; Ascomycota; Sordariomycetes; Hypocreales; Bionectriaceae.